UGGGGAAUAUUGCACAAUGGGCGCAAGCCUGAUGCAGCCAUGCCGCGUGUGUGAAGAAGGCCUUCGGGUUGUAAAGCACUUUCAGCGAGGAGGAAGGUGGUGAGCUUAAUACGCUCAUCAAUUGACGUUACUCGCAGAAGAAGCACCGGCUAACUCCGUGCCAGCAGCCGCGGUAAUACGGAGGGUGCAAGCGUUAAUCGGAAUUACUGGGCGUAAAGCGCACGCAGGCGGUUUGUUAAGUCAGAUGUGAAAUCCCCGGGCUCAACCUGGGAACUGCAUUUGAAACUGGCAAGCUAGAGUCUCGUAGAGGGGGGUAGAAUUCCAGGUGUAGCGGUGAAAUGCGUAGAGAUCUGGAGGAAUACCGGUGGCGAAGGCGGCCCCCUGGACGAAGACUGACGCUCAGGUGCGAAAGCGUGGGGAGCAAAACAGGAUUAGAUACCCUGGUAGUCCACGCUGUAAAACGAUGUCGAUUUUGGAGGUUGUGCCCUUGAGGCGUGGCUUCCGGAGCUAACGCGUUAAAUCGACCGCCUGGGGAGUACGGCCGCAAGGUUAAAACUUAAAGGAAUUGACGGGGUCUAGCUG
This 582-nucleotide ribosomal RNA is filed under the name uncultured bacterium. RNAcentral describes it as "partial 16S ribosomal RNA". It matches the Rfam family "Bacterial small subunit ribosomal RNA", at positions 355 to 926 of the family's 1533-position model. The record is from RNAcentral.